This is a long non-coding RNA of Lucilia cuprina (Australian sheep blowfly), 638 nucleotides long. RefSeq lists it as uncharacterized. Lineage: Eukaryota; Metazoa; Arthropoda; Insecta; Diptera; Calliphoridae. The transcript has 5 exons. The record is from RefSeq and is a predicted model, not a curated record.
UACUAUACACUACCUUUUUUAAAAUGGGUGCAAAAAUAAAUAAAUAAACACAAAAUUUGUUGAAAAAAAUUCACAAUUUUUUAUUUUGUUCUUUUAUUUAUUAAAAAAAGUUACAAAAUUAACUCCAAAUAAGUUGUUCCUUGUGGAAAAAUGAAAAAAAUUUGUUUGAAAAAUAUAUGGAAAAUUUCUAAUUUUUGGCUACUGACCUGAAACUAACGGAGGAAUUGGACCAAAUCUCUCCUGGAUCAGCGUUUUUCUGUUUUCGUUUAAGGGUACACUAUGGACAAAAAUUUACAAAUUUUGUCAAGGCUAAUGACCUGAAGCUAAUGGACGAAUUGGACCAAAACUUUCCGAGAUCAGCGGCUACACUUUUCGUCAACAUUGACGAAUUUUGUCAAGGCUACUGACCUGAAACUAAUGGACGAAUUGGACCAAAUCUUUCCGAGAUCAGCGAUAAGUAUAUAUAUCAAGCUACACUAUGGAGAAAAAUUUACAAAUUUUGUCAAGGCUACUGACCUGAAGAUAAUUGGACCAAAUUAUGCACGUAAUACACUGAAAUAGAAGCCAAAAAUAUUUUUAAAUUUAUAAUUUUCAAAUAUGUUACAAAGUUUUAUUUAAUAAACUUACAAUUACUGUAA